UACAGAGGUCUCGAGCGUUGUGCGGAAUUACUGGGCGUAAAGCGCACGUAGGCGGCUUUGCAAGUUAGAGGUGAAAGCCCGGGGCUCAACCCCGGAAUUGCCUUUAAAACUGCAUCGCUAGAAUUGUGGAGAGGUAAGUGGAAUUCCGAGUGUAGAGGUGAAAUUCGUAGAUAUUCGGAAGAACACCAGUGGCGAAGGCGACUUACUGGACACAUAUUGACGCUGAGGUGCGAAAGCGUGGGGAGCAAACAGG
Molecule: ribosomal RNA, 253 nt
Filed under: uncultured bacterium
Lineage: Bacteria
Description: partial 16S ribosomal RNA
Rfam family: Bacterial small subunit ribosomal RNA
Source: RNAcentral